Molecule: long non-coding RNA, 2801 nt
Organism: Sarcophilus harrisii (Tasmanian devil)
Lineage: Eukaryota; Metazoa; Chordata; Mammalia; Dasyuromorphia; Dasyuridae
Source: Ensembl
CCCUUUCCCUUCUUUAUAAUCUCUUUGGGAUAUAAUCCCAGUAGUAGAUCCAGCAGUGUUAUUACUGGGCUUAUAUCCCAAAGAGAUCUUAAAGGAGGGAAAGGAACCCACAUGAGCAGAAAUGUUUGUGGCAGCCCUCUUUGUAGCAGCAAGAAACUGGAAACUGAGUAGAUUCCCAUCAAUUGGAGAAUGGAUGAAUAAGUUAUGGUAUAUGGAUGUUAUGGAAUAUUAUUGUUCUGUAAAAAGUGAUCAGCAGGAUGAUUUCAGAAAGGUCUGGAGAGAUUUACAUGAACUGAUGCUAAGUGAAAUGAACAGAACCAGAAGAUCAUUGUACAUGGCAACAACAAGAUUAUACAAUGAUCAAUUCUGAUGGAUGUGGCUCUCUUCAACAAUGAGAUGAUUCAAAACAAUUCCAAUUGUUCAGUUAUGAAGAGAGCCAUCUACACCCAGAGAGAGGACUUUGGGAACUGAGUGUGGACCACAACAUAGCAUUCUCACUCCUUCUAUUGCUGUUUGCUUGUAUUUUGUUUUCUUUCCCAGUUUUUUUUUCUUCCUUCUCAAUCCAAUUUUUCUUAUGCAGAAAGAUAAUUGUAUAAACAUGUAUACAUAUAUUGGAUUUAAUGUAUAUUUAACAUAUUUAACAUGUAUUGGACGACCUGCCAUCUAGGGGAAGAGGAGGGGAGGAAAGAGGGAAUAAUUUGAUACAGAAGGCUUUGCAAGGGUCAAUGUUGAAAAGUUACCCAUGCAUAUGUUUUGUAAAUAAAAAUUUUUAAUUAAAAAAAAAGGCAAAUCAGACAUCAGUCUCCUGAUAAAGAAUGUGUGAUCUUAUACCAUUUUAAUUAGAAAAUUAGAUUCAAUUUUCAUUAUUUAAACUUCAGCUCUAGUAAUGUAAUGUGCUAUUUGCAUUGGUUUAGUCCAAUUGCUCUAAAAGAUUUUUACAUUAUUUUUUUAUUUUAAAAAGCUUACAUAUGUAAACAUGUGUACAUAUGUAUAUAUUUAUUAAAAUAUGUAUAUUAAUCCAUACAUAAUACAUAUUUAGAAAACCUGGAACACAUCUAAAUGUCAUUUGAAAACUGAAACCAGCACACUUCAUAUUUAGAGUUCAAAUGUGACAGGAAUAUGAGAUGAAACCAGUAAAUAUAGUAGGAGAGAAAGAAAUAAAGGAGAAAAUAACACUGCAAACUCAUAGCUAGUGACAAACUGUUGCAUAUAAACUUAUGCUUGAUCUGCUUAGACCACAUUGGAGGAUGGUGUUCCUUUCUAGGAAUCACAUUUUAGUAAGGAUAUUUGCAAGACAGAAUUCAACCAUCAAUCACUAGAAUGAUGAAGGGAAUAGAAAGCCUUUUAUAUAAGAAUCAGUUUAAGAAAUUGUAAAUGUUUAGCCAGGAGAAGAACAGAAAAGACACGACAGUUGUCUUCAGUUAGAAGACAAAAUUAAGAACAAUGAAUGAAGUGACAGAGAAGAUGGAUUAAGUAUUUAUUAAGUGCUUACUAUGUGCCAGGCACUAUGCUAAGCACUGGGAGUAAAAAUACAAGCAAAAAAAAGGCAGACUCUACCCUCAAGGAGCUUACAUUCUAAUGGCAGAAGACAACAUAUAAAAGAGAAAUAUGGUAAAAAAUAGAUUUCAGUUUGAUUUAAAGGAAAAGUUCUUAGCAAUUGAAGCUGUUCAAAAGUAGAAAGGACUGUCUUGAGAGGUUGGAGUAGUGAAUUUCUUCCAUACUGGGAACCAAGCGAGUGAUCACUUGGUACAGAUAUUUUAGAGAAAUUUCUGCUUGGGAACAAAUUGUAUCAAAUUAUCCCUGAUGUCCCUUUCAACUCAAAUUAUAUGACUGUAUAAUUUAAGGAUAUUUAUGAAUCUGAAAGAAAUUUCUGUAAAUCCACUUCAUUUCCAGUGUUAUUCUUCAGAGACUUUGCAUUGAUCUCCACUGUGGUCUGAGUUUGUAUAAGAAAGAUCUUUCUUGUCAUAGUGCUCCUUUACACUAUGAAUUAAUUAAUAACAUGUCUAUUUCAACUCAAUAACUCCCUAGGUUAAUUUAACUCAUACAGUUCUUCUCCAACAUGAAUUCUCUGAUGUUUAGUAAGAGAUGAGUUGCGGCUGAAGGCUCUCCCACAUUCAUUACAUUGAUAGGGUUUCUCUCCUGUAUGAAUUCUCUGGUGUUGAGUAAGAGAUGACCUGUCACUGAAGGCUUUCCCACAUUCAUUACAUUGAUAAGGUUUCUCUCCUGUAUGAAUUCUCUGAUGCUGAGUAAGGGCUCUGUGCUGUCUGAAGGCUUUUCCACAUUCGUUACAAUGAUAGGGUUUCUCUCCUGAAUGAACUCUCUGAUGUUGAGUAAGGGCUGUUCUUCUGCUAAAGGCUUUUCCACAUUCAUCACAAUGACAAGGUUUUUCUCCAGUAUGAAUUCUCUGAUGUUGGGUAAGGGCUGUACUUCGGCUAAAGGCUUUUCCACAUUCAAUACAUUCAUAGGGUUUUUCUCCAGUAUGAAUUCUCCAGUGUUUAUUAAGUGAUGAGGUGAUACUGAAGGCCUUCCCACAUUCAUUACAUUUAUAGGGUUUCUCACCAGUAUGAAUUCUCUGAUGCCAAGUAAGGUGUGUACGCUGGCUGAAAGUUUUCCCACAUUCACUACACUCAUAGGGUUUUUCUCCUGUAUGGAUUCUCCGAUGUUGGGUAAGGUAUGAAAUUUGGCUGAAGGCUUUCUCACAUUCACUACAUUCAUAGGGUUUCUCUCCAGUAUGAAUUCUCCGAUGUUGGGUAAGGUAUGAAAUCUGACUGAAGGUUUUUCCACAAUCAUCACAUUCAUAG